UAUAAAUGUUUUCCAGAGGUGAGCCUAAA
RNAcentral lists this non-coding RNA (29 nucleotides) under Homo sapiens (human). Lineage: Eukaryota; Metazoa; Chordata; Mammalia; Primates; Hominidae. The record is from RNAcentral.